AAAAUAUUUAGACUAUGGAGCUCUUGAAAUACAAUGUUGCCCUGGAUGAUUGUUAUUAUUCACAAAUAUUUCAGAUUCAGGCAGCCAAUCAGAAUUAAGUAUUCCAGAGAUUCGUGCAAUGAAUCUAACUAGUGUUUUGCUCAGUGGCCCCUGACCUCUGCAUUUCUAUUACUGCAGGGAGCUGUGCUGGUGUGACUUUGGGGUCAGAUUUGGCACACUCUCCUUGCUGAUUGGUGGGAAUGAUGUACUCUUGCUUGAAAUCUGUGUAUAGCCAUGAGCAGAAAACUGAAAUCUGUGUACUGCUUAAUUAUUAAUAAGAGACAAAGUGUGAGCUGCACAAACCCCUUUGUUUUCCAUAUCAGCAUCUUAGAUUCUCUUGCAAAUCCCUCUGUUUCUGUCUUGACAGAUGUCUUUGUUUCACACAGUGCCAGCUGCUCUUUCAAACUACGUUAGUCUCUUUUUCUCAAGCUGACCUGUAAGACUACACAGACAUGCCGAGGCUGUCCUGAGUCACUCUUCUUCACAGUGCAUUUUGUCUCUGCAUGGCUCCUUUCACAGCCAUUGUCGCCCCCUCACCUCAGAGUCGGACAGCUCAGCCCAAACACCGCUCAUCUCUGCCUCCAUGUUCUGUCCGCUCUGAAUCGCCCACACAGUGUCUGCAGGUUGACACACUGAGCCGGUGAGUACGAUCGCUAAGGGAUGUCAUCUCCCACCCGAAAGUCACACCACGGGCCCUUCAGAGACACUGAAGCCUCUCUAUGCUCAUGUGUGCAUGUAACAUGUGACAUACCACAACAUCUACAACAUGUUCCUCUGCCAGUCACCCUGUCCCUGGCUGUCUCAUACCUUCACCUUUCAUUACAUCAUCAUGACUCCCAGCACUUUUCCUGUAAUCUCAUCUUGAAUGACUUCACUCAAUCUUCUCUUCAUCCCUCACUCUGAUUCUCGACGGAGUUUCCGCCAGUGUCUCUCUCGCUCUCUCAGAGCGGAUGCUCGUCGCCAGACCCAGGCUUUGGGAUUAUGCAAAUUUAGCUCCAGCCUGUUCACACCUGGAUGCAAUGGGGCAUGAAACAGGGAGUGCACUCGCUGCAAAACUUUUCACUUUUUUCAUUCAGAGAGGGGGGAGAAAAUCUUAUUUUGCUUUUUUAAAAGAACUCAAUGUUCCUUCUUUAUAUUGUUAAAUGUUUUACUUUAUUUAAAAGAGCCACAAUAAGAUUUAAAUAGCACUGAGUUUCUCUAUAUAGUCUUGCUUUGUUUGAGUUAAUAAAAUAUGGAGACACAACCCAUACUGUGUGCUAAUGAUUUUUAUGCUGCUGGAUAUUGUUCAGGCACUCCAUAUCAAUAAUAUGAUAAAAAAAAUCUG
This is a long non-coding RNA of Megalobrama amblycephala (Wuchang bream), 1363 nucleotides long. RefSeq lists it as uncharacterized. The transcript has 3 exons. Lineage: Eukaryota; Metazoa; Chordata; Actinopteri; Cypriniformes; Xenocyprididae. The record is from RefSeq and is a predicted model, not a curated record.